This 497-nucleotide ribosomal RNA is filed under the name uncultured bacterium. Its description in RNAcentral is "partial 16S ribosomal RNA". It matches the Rfam family "Bacterial small subunit ribosomal RNA", at positions 28 to 507 of the family's 1533-position model. The record is from RNAcentral.
GAUGAACGCUGGCGGCGUGCCUAAUACAUGCAAGUCGAGCGAACAGGCGAGGAGUUUGCGGCUCUGACGUUAGGGGCGGAUGGGUGAGUAACACGUGGAUAACCUUCCUAUUAGAGUGGGAUAACGUCGGGUAGCCGGAGUAAAUACCGGAUACUAUAUUUAACCGCAUGGUUCAAUAGUUUAAGACGGUUUGGCUGUCACUUAUAGAUGGAGCCGCGUCGCAUUAGCUAGUUGGUAAGAGAUCGGCUUAUCAUGGCAACGAUGCGUAGCCGACCUGUGAGUGUGUACAGCCACACUGAGUAUGGCAUGCGUUCGAGUCACCUAGGGGCGGCCGACUUACGGAAUCUUCGGAAAUGGGAGAAAGCCUGACGGAGCAACGCAAGCUGUGUGAUGAGGGUCUUCGGAUCGUAAAACGCUAUUCUGAGGGAAAAAGACAUGUGUGAGUAACUAAGCUGGUUUUGACGGUACCUAAUCAGAAAGCAACGGCUAACUACGUG